GAUCCUGCGACGCUUGCAGACGAUUGGUUAUCUACUAUGCAAAUAGUUAGACUUCUACCUGCAGACUUCUUCGAAAAUAAGAAAUAUGAUGUGAAAGUAGAUGAUGUUUACUUCUAUCCGUUGAAUCAGAAUACAUUGCUUGACAAACUGCAUG
Molecule: long non-coding RNA, 154 nt
Organism: Erigeron canadensis
Lineage: Eukaryota; Viridiplantae; Streptophyta; Magnoliopsida; Asterales; Asteraceae
Exons: 3
Source: RefSeq, a predicted model, not a curated record